Molecule: non-coding RNA, 5166 nt
Organism: Podarcis lilfordi (Lilford's wall lizard)
Lineage: Eukaryota; Metazoa; Chordata; Lepidosauria; Squamata; Lacertidae
Source: the annotation of a GenBank genome assembly
GAGAGAGGGAGACAGGUUAACACUGCUCUCUAUGUUCACAUGUUGCCAACCAGUUUCAUUAGAACGGGUCCUUUGCAUCCCAGACUACAAAGGGGCUUCUUAACUUCCUUUUUUAAUUUCUCAUCUUCUCAAUUGGACAUUUCAUCUCUCUUCAGGCAGGUAGGCACCACUUUUCACCCAUGCUACUAGGACAAUGAAAGCUGGACCAUAAAGAAGGCUGAUCGCCGAAGAAUUGAUGCUUUUGAAUUAUGGUGCUGGAGGAGACUCUUGAGAGUCCCAUGGACUGCAAGAAGAUCAAACCUAUCCAUUCUGAAGGAAAGCACCCCUGAGUGCUCACUGGAAGGAGAGAUCCUGAAGCUGAGGCUCCAAUACUUUGGCCACCUCAUGAGACUCCCUGGAAAAGACCCUGAUGUUGGGAAAGAUUGAGGGCACAAGGAGAAGGGGAUGACAGAGGACGAGAUUGGUUGGACAGUGUUCUCGAAGCUACCAGCAUGAGUUUGACCAAACUGCGGGAGGCAGUGGGAGACAGGAGUGCCUGGCGUGCUCUGGUCCAUGGGGUCAUGAAGAGUCGGACACGACUAAACGACUAAACAACAACACUAGGACAGUGGCAUGAUUGUUAGUUGUCUGACAGUUAUUUCUCUAACAAAUACAUGGCACUGAAUGCUGAGUAGCCACAAUUGGGGGAUGGCAAAGCAACAUACCGUAUAUACUCGAGUAUAAGCGGACUUUUUCAGCACAUUUUUUAUGCUUAUACUCAACUGAGGGUCCUUUUGGGCUGCUCCUUCCUUCCUUCCUCCUCCUCUGCCUUUGCCGCUGUUGGCGGUGGCAGAGGAGGAACGAGCUGCUUGUUCUUCAUCCGCCGCCGCCACCACCACCAGUUUGUGGUGUGGUGAACUGGCUUAUACUCGAGUCAAUAAAUUUUCCCAGUUUUUUGUGCUAAAAUUAGGUGCCUCGGCUUAUAUUCAGGUCGGCUUAUACUCCAGUAUAUAUGGUAAGUCUUAUCUUCAAGAUCACAAUUUACACUCAUUUGAAGAAGAGGCAUCAGCACAUAGGAUACUAUUAUGUGGCAAAAUUUCCCACCUCUGCAACCCACUUAUUCAUGCAUUUUGGCUGGUUCCAGAGACACAGGAACAGGACCCAUACCUGAUUUUCCUUACCUCAAGGCAAUACAAUUAAAUUCAUCUCUUGUAAUAAAAUGGAACGUUGAAUUGGCCUGACUUAACCAAUUCACCGUUGAUUAGUUAGCCAAGUUGCACUGACAGUGAAUGCUGUUUUUGACACUGAUACUUUUAGUAUGCUCUGAUGUAUGCCAGAUAUGUUCUUGCGGUGCUAUUUUUCUGGGGGGACGCAGGGAUACGCAUACCCCUAAAUAUUUUGUGAAUCUAAGUUUGGCCUCAUUGAGGGGCAGUAUUUCAAUAUGAGUAGGAAAAUGAGAGCCCCCCUAAACAUUUUUUUUAAAGAAAAAAGCACUGAGUUCUUGUAUAAGUUAAGUUUUGAUAAUAUGUCUGUGUAAUUUUAUCAAGAUAUUUUUUAAAAACAGCAUUUUUGUAUCUUUAUAUUUUGCAAAAUAGCUUUCUUUUUGAGGUCAACUUUUCCCUUUUCUUGCAAGGAAUCCUAUUCGGAAUAAGGGAAUUUCCCUUUAAAAAGGGGAAACGUUGACAGCUAUGGUACUCUGUCCAUUCCCCAGUUGUCUUGCCCCCAAAAUCAGCGUGGAAAAGGCUCUUUCCCUUUUCCAUUCCAUCAUUCCCUCAGGGCCCUAACAUAGAUCUUCCCUGGAAUGCCCUGGCAACUCAAUUCACUUGGAUCUCUCUGCACUUUUAUCUCCAUACUCUACAUGCUCAGAAUCAAAUAAUCUGCCUCUGCUACUGUGCCUCACUCUGUGGCUGAACUACUGUUCCCACAAUGCCAUUUCCCGUCAACAGCAGUCACAGCCAAACCACCCACCAUCUUCUCAGCAGAUGGAUGGAGGAAUGUCACAGUUGGGAACGGCUGCAGUCCACGUUCACAGAGAACAAUGAAAACCUAGAACUUAAUUGAUAAUAGAAACUAAACAUAUAUGUAAAUAAACAUAAUGUAAAAUCGACCACCAACUAAAAUUGAAAUGUCAUCUCCUGCCACCCCAAUUGGUACUGUCAAAGAAGUCAGAUUAGGAGACUGGAAGUUCCAGUUUUUGCAAGCAAAUUGAAACUAGAAUUUGUUCAAGAAUUCCUGUUUUCUUUUCUUUCAUUCUUAAUGGAAUCCAGGCUGCCUGGAUAGAUGAAUCAUGGAAAAUAAACACAGGGAAUACAAUACACGUAUAGUAUAUGUUUAACAAAGUGGAAAAAAUAACAUAAUCCAGACUGCUCUGUGUCGUUUCGAAAAUGACAUAUUUUCAACGAGUGCUACACAAACCCUGAUCUGGAAUUGCUCUUCUUGAGUGCGGCAGCAGAUGCCUCUGUGUGAAUUUGCAAACAGUUUAAUUGUUCAGAUUUGUUUUUUAAAAAAUAUUUUUUAUUGGAAUUUUAUUUACAACAUAACAUAAACCCCCCACCCCUCCAUACACAAUCCACCCUCAUUAAAUGUGAACAUAACAUACAGUGAGCAUAACAUAUACAACAAUACAAACAACGAAAUAAAAGACUUCCUAUAUCCUGUAUCUGGCUUCCUUAUUUACUUCUUAUAAACUAUUUCCUUUAUGAAUAAUUAUUAAGAUUUUUCUAAUUAUAACUUAAAUAUCCACAAAGUCUCCUGCAGACAUUAAUCGAAACAAGUCCAGGUAUGUAUUUUAGGGCACUGUUUUGUGAAGUAUUCUCUGCAUUUCCCCCAUGCUUUUUGAAACUCUUGUGUAGUGUGAUCUCUAAUUGCCUCUGUUAAUCUAGCCAGUUCAAUAUACUCUAACAGCUUGUCUUGCCAUUCCUUUUUUGUUGGCACAGUUUCUUUUUUCCAGUUUUUAGCUGUUAGGAUCCUUGCUGCUCCUGUGGCAUAGAGGAAUAUUUUCUGAUCUUCUCUUGCUAUAUCUGUGUCCAGUAUCCCUAGUAGAGAAGCUUCUGUAUUUUUCAUAAAGUUAUACUUAUACAUGUUUGGUGGACCUGUGACAAAAUUAAAAGCUUCUGGAACACAGUAUAUGAUGAGCAGAACCUCAGAUUUGUAUUGAUUUGUAUUGAUUUUUACCUAUUGGGGGGCAGCUGCCCCCUGCCCCCCUUGCCUAUGCCCAUGGGGGGGGGGCUACAGGUAAGAAACAAGGUCAGAAGGGGGCCACAGUUGGAAAAAGGUUGGGGAACACUGCUCUAAUGAGAAAUGCUCUUAUUCCCUCAGUAAUUGUUUUUUGUUGUUGUUUAUUUGAUUUUUAUACUACCCCUUAUCAAGAGAUCCCAGGGCGGUGUACAACGUUAAAACCAUAUUAAAGGUAAAGGGACUCCUGACCAUUAGGUCCAGUCGUGGCCGACUCUGGGGUUGCGGCGCUCAUAUCGCUUCACUGGCUGAGGGAGCCGGCGUACAGCUUCUGGGUCAUGUGGUCAGCAUGACUAAGCCCCUUCUGGUGAACCAGAGCAGCGCACAGAAACGCCGUUUACCUUCCCACUGGAGCGAUACCUAUUUAUCUACUUGCACUUUGACGUGCUUUCGAACUGCUAGGUUGGCAGGAGCAGGGACUGAGCAACGGGAGCUCACCCCGCCGCGGGGAUUCGAACCGCCAACCUUCUGAUCGGCAAGUCCUAGGCUCUGUGGUUUAACCUACAGCACCACCCGCAUCCCAUAAACCAUAUUACAGAACAAUAAUGAUAAAAACAUAAUAAAACAUAGUAAGAAGCAUACUGACAAACAAUAUUCACUUAGGGGCUUUUCUUCCCUCCUUCCACAGCCUGAGCGGUUGCUGCCCCCGGCAAUUCACUCAGCAGAUAUCUCUUGACAGAGCCUUAUUAUUUGCCAUUUGUUCAAAGUUAGCUCAGCAAAUACCACCAGUCUCCAACUCCAUGGGAUCUUCCUGAGAUAAAAGCAUGCACACAAUUCAUUGUUUCCUAAGCCUCUCGUGUACUGAUACAGGAUGCUUGUGGCACAAGCCUUAUUUGCCUUUCCAUGCUGACAUUAUUGUAGCAAGGGUAAUAAGCAGCGGGCCUUGGGAAUGAAGGCCAGCCACAGCAAAAGUAAUAAAGAAGAUUCGUGCUUUUAAUCUACUUAAGUAUUGAAUAUUGUUUGCCUUAAAAGGGCAGCCAGUUAUUCAGAAAGUAGCGCAGGAUAAUGAUCCCAAAUAUUAAAACAGGCCUCUGUGUGUCUCAGGUCUUCAUAGUUCAUACAACGUAUUAUUUUCCCCUGUGAAUGUCGACAUUAAUGAGAGGCAAGAGCUAGGAAAACGGACAUGGUUUCAAAAGUGACCGCAAUCUGAGUUUAGUCUUUGCAUUUGAGGUCAGCGUUCCUUGUCAUUUAAAAAAGCAUUUUGGUGCUUUGCUUUGUUUCUGAAAGAAGAGUAUGCUAUGGCUUUGCUAGCUCGAUUGUACUGCCAAAACAAUACUGCUCUUAGAAUUGCUGCUGAGAAAAGAUAAGAAGAUAUGCAAAGACACAAGUGACUGGAAGACAAGCAUGAGAAGGUUACUACAAAAGGGGUCACAAGGUAGGGAUGUGGGUGGUGCUGUGGUCUAAACCACUGAGCCUCUUGGACUUGCUGAUCAGAAGGUUGGCGGUUUGAAUCCCUGUGACGGAAGGUAAACGGCAUUUUCGUGUGCUCUGGUUUCCGUCAUGGUGUUCUGCUGCACCAGAAGUGGUUUAGUCAUGCUGGACACAUGACCAGGAGAGCUGUCUGUGGACAAACACUGGCUCUCUCGGCCUGAAAAGCGAGAUGAGCGCUGCAACCCCAUAGUCACCUUCGACUGGACUUAACCUUUUCCUUUUCCUUUACUUUUUGACCACAAGGUAGGGGGAAGAUGCAGGAACUGACUAAUGGUGUGUGUGUGUGUGUGUGUGUGUGUGUGUGUGUGUGUGUGUAUAACUAUUGAUCUAUCAUCUAUCAUCUAUCAUUUAUCAUCUAUCUAUCAUCUAUCUAUCAUCUAUCUAUCUAUAUCUAUCUAUAUGUUAGGUUUCUGUUAUGCCACUGUGCAGUGCUUGGAGUCACAAGACUCUGUUUACAUUCCAGACUGUUAGAAGUCUCACGGGAGAUGGCCGAUGGAUGUUGAUGUUACUGGUUUCCUGUUU